Molecule: ribosomal RNA, 466 nt
Filed under: uncultured bacterium
Lineage: Bacteria
Description: partial 16S ribosomal RNA
Rfam family: Bacterial small subunit ribosomal RNA
Source: RNAcentral
GACGAACGCUGGCGGCGCGCCUAACACAUGCAAGUCGAACGAGCGAGAGAGAGCUUGCUUUCUCAAGCGAGUGGCGAACGGGUGAGUAACGCGUGAGGAACCUGCCUCAAAGAGGGGGACAACAGUUGGAAACGACUGCUAAUACCGCAUAAGCCCACAGGUCGGCAUCGACCAGAGGGAAAAGGAGCAAUCCGCUUUGAGAUGGCCUCGCGUCCGAUUAGCUAGUUGGUGAGGUAACGGCCCACCAAGGCAACGAGCGGUAGCCGGACUGAGAGGUUGAACGGCCACAUUGGGACUGAGACACGGCCCAGACUCCUACGGGAGGCAGCAGUGGGGAAUAUUGCACAAUGGGGGAAACCCUGAUGCAGCGACGCCGCGUGGAGGAAGAAGGUCUUCGGAUUGUAAACUCCUGUUGUUGAGGAAGAUAAUGACGGUACUCAACAAGGAAGUGACGGCUAACUACGUG